This 1650-nucleotide ribosomal RNA is filed under the name Staphylococcus aureus. RNAcentral describes it as "bacterial SSU rRNA". It matches the Rfam family "Bacterial small subunit ribosomal RNA". Lineage: Bacteria; Bacillati; Bacillota; Bacilli; Caryophanales; Staphylococcaceae. The record is from RNAcentral.
UUUUAUGGAGAGUUUGAUCCUGGCUCAGGAUGAACGCUGGCGGCGUGCCUAAUACAUGCAAGUCGAGCGAACGGACGAGAAGCUUGCUUCUCUGAUGUUAGCGGCGGACGGGUGAGUAACACGUGAACGCUGGCGGCGUGCCUAAUACAUGCAAGUCGAGCGAACGGACGAGAAGCUUGCUUCUCUGAUGUUAGCGGCGGACGGGUGAGUAACACGUGGAUAACCUACCUAUAAGACUGGGAUAACUUCGGGAAACCGGAGCUAAUACCGGAUAAUAUUUUGAACCGCAUGGUUCAAAAGUGAAAGACGGUCUUGCUGUCACUUAUAGAUGGAUCCGCGCUGCAUUAGCUAGUUGGUAAGGUAACGGCUUACCAAGGCAACGAUGCAUAGCCGACCUGAGAGGGUGAUCGGCCACACUGGAACUGAGACACGGUCCAGACUCCUACGGGAGGCAGCAGUAGGGAAUCUUCCGCAAUGGGCGAAAGCCUGACGGAGCAACGCCGCGUGAGUGAUGAAGGUCUUCGGAUCGUAAAACUCUGUUAUUAGGGAAGAACAUAUGUGUAAGUAACUGUGCACAUCUUGACGGUACCUAAUCAGAAAGCCACGGCUAACUACGUGCCAGCAGCCGCGGUAAUACGUAGGUGGCAAGCGUUAUCCGGAAUUAUUGGGCGUAAAGCGCGCGUAGGCGGUUUUUUAAGUCUGAUGUGAAAGCCCACGGCUCAACCGUGGAGGGUCAUUGGAAACUGGAAAACUUGAGUGCAGAAGAGGAAAGUGGAAUUCCAUGUGUAGCGGUGAAAUGCGCAGAGAUAUGGAGGAACACCAGUGGCGAAGGCGACUUUCUGGUCUGUAACUGACGCUGAUGUGCGAAAGCGUGGGGAUCAAACAGGAUUAGAUACCCUGGUAGUCCACGCCGUAAACGAUGAGUGCUAAGUGUUAGGGGGUUUCCGCCCCUUAGUGCUGCAGCUAACGCAUUAAGCACUCCGCCUGGGGAGUACGACCGCAAGGUUGAAACUCAAAGGAAUUGACGGGGACCCGCACAAGCGGUGGAGCAUGUGGUUUAAUUCGAAGCAACGCGAAGAACCUUACCAAAUCUUGACAUCCUUUGACAACUCUAGAGAUAGAGCUUUCCCCUUCGGGGGACAAAGUGACAGGUGGUGCAUGGUUGUCGUCAGCUCGUGUCGUGAGAUGUUGGGUUAAGUCCCGCAACGAGCGCAACCCUUAAGCUUAGUUGCCAUCAUUAAGUUGGGCACUCUAAGUUGACUGCCGGUGACAAACCGGAGGAAGGUGGGGAUGACGUCAAAUCAUCAUGCCCCUUAUGAUUUGGGCUACACACGUGCUACAAUGGACAAUACAAAGGGCAGCGAAACCGCGAGGUCAAGCAAAUCCCAUAAAGUUGUUCUCAGUUCGGAUUGUAGUCUGCAACUCGACUACAUGAAGCUGGAAUCGCUAGUAAUCGUAGAUCAGCAUGCUACGGUGAAUACGUUCCCGGGUCUUGUACACACCGCCCGUCACACCACGAGAGUUUGUAACACCCGAAGCCGGUGGAGUAACCUUUUAGGAGCUAGCCGUCGAAGGUGGGACAAAUGAUUGGGGUGAAGUCGUAACAAGGUAGCCGUAUCGGAAGGUGCGGCUGGAUCACCUCCUUUCUAA